Molecule: ribosomal RNA, 407 nt
Filed under: uncultured bacterium
Lineage: Bacteria
Description: partial 16S ribosomal RNA
Rfam family: Bacterial small subunit ribosomal RNA
Source: RNAcentral
AUUGAACGCUGGCGGCAGGCCUAACACAUGCAAGUCGAGCGGAGCGGCAGACGGGUGAGUAAUGCCUAGGAAUCUGCAUGGUAGUGGGGGAUAACGUCCGGAAACGGGCGCUAAUACCGCAUACUAUCAGAUGAGCCUAGGUCGGAUUAGCUAGUUGGUGGGGUAAAGGGCUACCAAGGGGACGAUCCGUAACCGGUCUAAGAGGAUGAUCAGUCACACUGGAACUGAGACACGGUCCAGACUCCUACGGUAGUGAGCAGUGGGGAAUAUUGGACAAUGGGCGAAAGCCUGAUCCAGCCAUGCCGCGUGUGUGAAGAAAGUCUUCGGAUGUUAAAGCACUUUAAGUUGGGAGGCGUUACCAACAGAAUAAGCACCGGCUAACUUCGUGCCAGCAGCGGCGGUAAUAC